This 253-nucleotide ribosomal RNA is filed under the name uncultured bacterium. Its description in RNAcentral is "partial 16S ribosomal RNA". It matches the Rfam family "Bacterial small subunit ribosomal RNA", at positions 524 to 776 of the family's 1533-position model. The record is from RNAcentral.
UACGUAGGGUCCAAGCGUUAUCCGGAAUCACUGGGCGUAAAGCGUGCGUAGGUGGAUUGUAAGUGCGGUGCGAAAUCCUGUGGCUCAACCAUAUGGACUGUAUCGCAUACUGGCUAUCUAGAGGACAUGAGAGGCAAGUGGAAUUACUGGUGUAGCAGUGAAAUGCGUAGAGAUCAGUAGGAACACCAAUGGCGAAGGCAGCUUGCUGGCAUGUAUCUGACGCUAAGGCACGAAAGCGUGGGGAGCGAACAGG